Molecule: ribosomal RNA, 1078 nt
Filed under: Perennicordyceps cuboidea
Lineage: Eukaryota; Fungi; Ascomycota; Sordariomycetes; Hypocreales; Polycephalomycetaceae
Description: SSU rRNA
Rfam family: Eukaryotic small subunit ribosomal RNA
Source: RNAcentral
UAUACCGCGAAACUGCGAAUGGCUCAUUAUAUAAGUUAUCGUUUAUUUGAUAGUACCUUACUACUUGGAUAACCGUGGUAAUUCUAGAGCUAAUACAUGCUGAAAAUCCCGACUUCGGAAGGGAUGUAUUUAUUAGAUUAAAAACCAAUGCCCUUCUGGGCUCUCUGGUGAUUCAUGAUAACUUCUCGAAUCGCACGGCCUCGCGCCGGCGAUGGUUCAUUCAAAUUUCUUCCCUAUCAACUUUCGAUGUUUGGGUAGUGGCCAAACAUGGUUGCAACGGGUAACGGAGGGUUAGGGCUCGACCCCGGAGAAGGAGCCUGAGAAACGGCUACUACAUCCAAGGAAGGCAGCAGGCGCGCAAAUUACCCAAUCCCGACACGGGGAGGUAGUGACAAUAAAUACUGAUACAGGGCUCUUUCGGGUCUUGUAAUUGGAAUGAGUACAAUUUAAAUCCCUUAACGAGGAACAAUUGGAGGGCAAGUCUGGUGCCAGCAGCCGCGGUAAUUCCAGCUCCAAUAGCGUAUAUUAAAGUUGUUGUGGUUAAAAAGCUCGUAGUUGAACCUUGGGCCUGGCUGGCCGGUCCGCCUCACCGCGUGUACUGGUCCGGCCGGGCCUUUCCCUCUGUGGAACCCCAUGCCCUUCACUGGGCGUGGCGGGGAAACAGGACGUUUACUUUGAAAAAAUUAGAGUGCUCCAGGCAGGCCUAUGCUCGAAUACAUUAGCAUGGAAUAAUGAAAUAGGACGCGCGGUUCUAUUUUGUUGGUUUCUAGGACCGCCGUAAUGAUUAAUAGGGACAGUCGGGGGCAUCAGUAUUCAAUUGUCAGAGGUGAAAUUCUUGGAUUUAUUGAAGACUAACUACUGCGAAAGCAUUUGCCAAGGAUGUUUUCAUUAAUCAGGAACGAAAGUUAGGGGAUCGAAGACGAUCAGAUACCGUCGUAGUCUUAACCAUAAACUAUGCCGACUAGGGAUCGGACGAUGUUAUUUUUUGACUCGUUCGGCACCUUACGAGAAAUCAAAGUGCUUGGGCUCCAGGGGGAGUAUGGUCGCAAGGCUGAAACUUAAAGGAAUUGACGGAAGA